RNAcentral lists this transfer RNA (79 nucleotides) under compost metagenome. RNAcentral's name for it is "tRNA-Pro". It matches the Rfam family "tRNA". Rfam says of the family: Transfer RNA (tRNA) molecules are approximately 80 nucleotides in length. Their secondary structure includes four short double-helical elements and three loops (D, anti-codon, and T loops). The record is from RNAcentral.
CAGGGUGUAGGGGAGCCUGGCCGUCCCUGCUACUUUUGGAAAGUAGAGAUCGUGAGUUCGAAUCUCACCACUCUGACCA